This 256-nucleotide ribosomal RNA is filed under the name uncultured bacterium. RNAcentral describes it as "partial 16S ribosomal RNA". It matches the Rfam family "Bacterial small subunit ribosomal RNA", at positions 524 to 776 of the family's 1533-position model. The record is from RNAcentral.
UACGUAGGGGGCAAGCGUUAUCCGGAAUCAUUGGGCGUAAAGCGCGUGUAGGCGGUUCCGUAAGUCCGCUCUGAAAAGCCCAGGGCUCAACCCUGGGAGGCGGGUGGAUACUACGGAACUGGAGUACGGAAGAGGAGAUUGGAAUUCCUGGUGUAGCGGUGAAAUGCGCAGAUAUCAGGAGGAACACCAACAGCGAAGGCAGAUCUCUGGGACGUUACUGACGCUGAGACGCGAAAAGCGUGGGGGAGCAAACAGG